ACCGCGGGUAAUCCCCAGCGACGUGGCGUGCCGGCAUCGGCGUGCCACCAAAGCCCUGGCGCCGUGGGACGGGCCGUCGUGGUAUUAGCUGGUUGGCGGGGUAACGGCCCACCAAGGCGGCGAUGCCUACCGGGCGUGCGAGCGUGGCCCGGCACACUGGGACUGAGACACUGCCCAGACUCCUACGGGAGGCUGCAGUCGAGAAUCUUCGGCAAUGGGCGCAAGCCUGACCGAGCGACGCCGCGUGGAGGACGAAGGCCUUCGGGUUGUAAACUCCUGUCGAGGGGGAAGAAGGCCGGGAGACCGGCUUGACUGAUCCCUGGAGGAAGCACGGGCUAAGUUCGUGCCAGCAGCCGCGGUAAGACGAACCGUGCAAACGUUAUUCGGAAUCACUGGGCUUAAAGCGCGUGUAGGCGGGCCGGCACGUCGGUCGCUGAAAUCCCCCGGCUCAACCGGGGAAGCGGCGCCGAUACGACCG
Molecule: ribosomal RNA, 478 nt
Filed under: uncultured Planctomycetales bacterium
Lineage: Bacteria; Pseudomonadati; Planctomycetota; Planctomycetia; Planctomycetales
Description: bacterial SSU rRNA
Rfam family: Bacterial small subunit ribosomal RNA
Source: RNAcentral